RNAcentral lists this ribosomal RNA (271 nucleotides) under uncultured bacterium. RNAcentral's name for it is "partial 16S ribosomal RNA". It matches the Rfam family "Bacterial small subunit ribosomal RNA", at positions 524 to 794 of the family's 1533-position model. The record is from RNAcentral.
UACGUAGGGGGCAAGCGUUGUCCGGAAUCAUUGGGCGUAAAGCGCGUGUAGGCGGUUUGGUAAGUCCGCUCUGAAAGUCCGGGGCUCAACCCCGGGAGGCGGGUGGAUACUGUCAGACUAGAGUGCGGAAGAGGCGAGUGGAAUUCCCGGUGUAGCGGUGAAAUGCGCAGAUAUCGGGAGGAACACCAAUUGCGAAGGCAGCUCGCUGGGACGUGACUGACGCUGAGACGCGAAAGCGUGGGGAGCAAACAGGAUUAGAUACCCUGGUAGU